This 484-nucleotide ribosomal RNA is filed under the name uncultured bacterium. RNAcentral describes it as "partial 16S ribosomal RNA". It matches the Rfam family "Bacterial small subunit ribosomal RNA", at positions 30 to 507 of the family's 1533-position model. The record is from RNAcentral.
AUUGAACGCUGGCGGCAGGCCUAACACAUGCAAGUCGAGCGGAUGAAGGGAGCUUGCUCCUGGAUUCAGCGGCGGACGGGUGAGUAAUGCCUAGGAAUCUGCCUGGUAGUGGGGGAUAACGUCCGGAAACGGGCGCUAAUACCGCAUACGUCCUGAGGGAGAAAGUGGGGGAUCUUCGGACCUCACGCUAUCAGAUGAGCCUAGGUCGGAUUAGCUAGUUGGUGGGGUAAAGGCCUACCAAGGCGACGAUCCGUAACUGGUCUGAGAGGAUGAUCAGUCACACUGGAACUGAGACAGGGUCCAGACUCCUACGGGAGGCAGCAGUGGGGAAUAUUGGACAAUGGGCGAAAGCCUGAUCCAGCCAUGCCGCGUGUGUGAAGAAGGUCUUCGGAUUGUAAAGCACUUUAAGUUGGGAGGAAGGGCAGUAAGUUAAUACCUUGCUGUUUUGACGUCACCAACAGAAUAAGCACCGGCUAACUUCGUG